This 232-nucleotide ribosomal RNA is filed under the name uncultured bacterium. RNAcentral describes it as "partial 16S ribosomal RNA". It matches the Rfam family "Bacterial small subunit ribosomal RNA", at positions 99 to 334 of the family's 1533-position model. The record is from RNAcentral.
CGGACGGGUGAGUAAUGUCUGGGAAACUGCCCGAUGGAGGGGGAUAACUACUGGAAACGGUAGCUAAUACCGCAUAACGUCGCAAGACCAAAGAGGGGGACCUUCGGGCCUCUUGCCAUCGGAUGUGCCCAGAUGGGAUUAGCUAGUAGGUGGGGUGACGGCUCACCUAGGCGACGAUCCCUAGCUGGUCUGAGAGGAUGACCAGCCACACUGGAACUGAGACACGGUCCAG